CAGCAUUUCUACACGUCUGAUUUUAUUAAAUUGUCACAAAGACAACACAUGCAGGCAGUCUACCAAUAUCCCUGUUUUUUCUUUUUUUUCUUUUUUUUUGUUGUUUAAUUAAUAAAUGGUAACAAAUCAACAUUUCCAAAUGUUCUGAACCAUCACACUGAGCCUCUGACAGAAACAAACAAAGCUUUAACUUUAAAUGACUUCUCAACACUCAACCCACAACCAUGCAGACUUUCCACUUCACUGAGAUGUUUUAAAGUGUUUUUUUUUUUUUAAAUCUUUAACUCUAUAGUUUUGAUAAUAACUUACUAAGUAGUUGAUGCAGUUACUGCUUCUUUCAGACCAAUCAGAGCUCUCAGCUUGGCCUUGAGUUAGCUGUUUGAUUUUAUCUCUUGUUGUGUUUUUGCAUUUGUGUCAGAAGAAACCCUUUGACCACACCGGGCCAUCAUAGUGCCUAUCAGCCUAUUGGUGUUGAAAUCUAUAUAAAUGGGUCUGGUCCCCCCUCCUUUGUUAAAAAAUGAUCACCUGAAGAAGACAUCAGGGAGGAAUGUUGUGAUUUUGAUGGAAUAAAAUCAAAAUCUGUGAAGUCAUUUAAAUAUGAAAUAUUAACUUUGCCCACCUCUGGUUCCUGUUCAUCAGAUUGUACAGGUUCUUCUGAUCUGGACUUGGUCAUGUUGGCUCUGCGUGUGGCUGAACUCCUCCUGAUUACUGUGAUCACUGUUCUUCUCUUCAGAGCUCGAGGGAACCAGAGACCACCUGAUGACAUCACUGUGAGCUGGAAAUAAAGCCUCAUAUGAACUGUCUUCAUAUAGAGAAGGAACAUUUCUUACCUCCAUUUUAACUCUUAUGUUUUUGUAUUUUCACAGGUGCUUGAUGAUGGAGAUGAAGGCUCAGUGAACUAUGAAAAUGAUGGAGAACCUUCUGCUUCUGUCAGACUCCACUGAUCAACAACUUCCACACAAACAUCCACUCAGCAGAUACAUUAAUCCACCGCUUUCAAUCAUUUCUAUAUCAUACUUUUGAGCAUAAAAACAUGGAUCCGCAUUUAAUUUGAGGUACUAAGUGAGGAUUUAAUAAAUGUACUGAAAUAUGAAGUUGAUAUUUGUUACGGCGUCCUUAACCAAAAUUAUUAAACCAAGGCUCAAAACUCAGAGACCGAAAACAUACAAGGACGCCACAAAGAUUUAAAGUUCAACCCGAGCUUUAUUUAAUGUAAAUACCACUCUCCCCCCAAAGUAAUCAAAGAUAAAUAAUAAACCAAAGAAACAAAAGGGGCUGGAGACCCCGACAAAAAAAAAAACAAAAGAAAGAUGGGAAGAUGCUGAGCCAACCACGUAAUGUGUCGUCAUUAUGGCACCUCCCCCUAAAACUACCUAAGAAGAAAAGAUUAAACUAAAGAAACCAAAAGACCCAAAAUAGGACUAACAGUGAUCUCCAGUCCAAACUCAAAUAAUAAAACCAAACAAUGUUAACAUAUGUGGGGAAAACCAGUAAAACUGGGAAACAAAAGCUCCUCACCACAUCACUGCCCAGAGUGUGUGCGCCCCUAACUCUCCUACCUGGCUCCUCUAAAUACCCCUCCUCCUCCUCCUCCUCCCCCUCCUCCUCCUCCUCCUCCUCCUCCUCCUCCUCCUCUUCCUCCUCCUCCUCCUCACUGAGCACAGAUUGUACUCAGGUGAGCAGCAGGUGAAGGAGGAGGGAUAAUCAGGGAGAGAGAGAGAGAGAGUAGGUGUGUAGCAGGUAGAGAUAAAGAGAGAGAGAGAUCAUCACUUGGGGGAAUCUUCAGUUUUUGCCAACAUGGAAGAUAAUAAUUUUGUAGAAAGCUUCAUUUGUAUAAAGUUCUUCAUAUUUUUGAGUGCCUUUAAAUGUCAGUAUAACCAAAUUUUAAUCACUAUGUCAAAUUAACUUUCAUGUCUUAUUGUUGCUUCAAUAUAUUUGAUUGAAUGUGUAUAUUUUACUUAAAGGAGAUCUAUUAUCCUCACUUUCACCAUUAAUCAUGUCAGUCUGGGACACCUAUUGAGUAGUGUUGUGAGAUGUGUAACUCAUAAACUUUCUUAUUUUUCUCAUACUGUCAUCAUUGAAAUCCCAAAUUUCAGCCUCUGCCUGAAAUGGUUCAUUUCAGCGUCUGUCUCUUUAAGACCCCCCCCCCCCCCCCCCCACCUGCCCACUUUACUCUGAUUGGCCAGCAUUUCAGAAGCUUCCUGCUUCUGAAAUAAUCAACCAAUGAGCUUCCGGUUGGGCGUGUCCUUGAAAGAGCUGGUGGUCAUUUCCUGCAACUUUACCCCAUGUUUUGUUCUGAUGCAUCAGUGGCUAACUUUCACGACUUUUCCUUUAACGUCUCGUUCAGAGCAGCAGGAAACCACGUCCGGGGAUUACACCAACAUCUGUGUAUAAUGUGUUUAAAAAAAUGUUGCAGAGGUUAUUAUGGUAUUAUGCUCAUUAUAUGUAUGUUUUUAAAUAUGGAUCAGUAUAAUAGAUCUCUUUUAUUAUUUUUCAGUCUUCAGUCUGUAAUAAUCAUGUCUUUAUUAAAUCAUAUUAAAUCUGCAUAUAAAUAAACAUUUACCACUUAA
Molecule: long non-coding RNA, 2570 nt
Organism: Labrus mixtus (cuckoo wrasse)
Lineage: Eukaryota; Metazoa; Chordata; Actinopteri; Labriformes; Labridae
Exons: 2
Source: RefSeq, a predicted model, not a curated record